This 505-nucleotide ribosomal RNA is filed under the name uncultured bacterium. RNAcentral's name for it is "partial 16S ribosomal RNA". It matches the Rfam family "Bacterial small subunit ribosomal RNA", at positions 28 to 507 of the family's 1533-position model. The record is from RNAcentral.
GACGAACGCUGGCGGCGUGCCUAAUACAUGCCGGUAGAACGCACAGUUUAUACCGUAGCUUGCUACACCAUAGACUGUGAGUUGCGAACGGGUGAGUAACGCGUAGGUAACCUGCCUGGUAGCGGGGGAUAACUAUUGGAAACGAUAGCUAAUACCGCAUAAUAUUAAUUAUUGCAUGAUAAUUAAUUGAAAGGUGCAAUUGCACCACUACCAGAUGGACCUGCGUUGUAUUAGCUAGUAGGUGAGGUAACGGCUCACCUAGGCGACGAUACAUAGCCGACCUGAGAGGGUGAUCGGCCACACUGGGACUGAGACACGGCCCAGACUCCUACGGGAGGCAGCAGUAGGGAAUCUUCGGCAAUGGACGAAAGUCUGACCGAGCAACGCCGCGUGAGUGAAGAAGGUUUUCGGAUCGUAAAGCUCUGUUGUAAGAGAAGAACGGGUGUGAGAGUGGAAAGUUCACACUGUGACGGUAUCUUACCAGAAAGGGACGGCUAACUACGUG